UACGUAGGGCGCAAGCGUUGUCCGGAAUUAUUGGGCGUAAAGGGCGCGUAGGCGGGGAGGUAAGUCGGGUGUGAAAUCCCUCGGCCCAACCGAGGAACUACGCCCGAGACUGCUUCUCUUGAGUCCCGGAGAGGAAGAUGGAAUUCCCGGUGUAGCGGUGAAAUGUGUAGAGAUCGGGAGGAAUACCGGUGGCGAAGGCGGCAUCCUGGACCGGCAUUGACGCUGAGGAGCGAAAGCCAGGGGAGCAAACGGG
Molecule: ribosomal RNA, 253 nt
Filed under: uncultured bacterium
Lineage: Bacteria
Description: partial 16S ribosomal RNA
Rfam family: Bacterial small subunit ribosomal RNA
Source: RNAcentral